AUUGAACGCUGGCGGCAUGCCUUACACAUGCAAGUCGAACGGCAGCGCGGGGCAACCUGGCGGCGAGUGGCGAACGGGUGAGUAAAAUAUCGGAACAUACCCUAGAGUGGGGGAUAACGUAGCGAAAGUUACGCUAAUACCGCAUACGCACUAAGGUGGAAAGUGGGGGAUCUUCGGACCUCAUGCUCAUGGAGUGGCCGAUAUCUGAUUAGCUAGUUGGUGAGGUAAAGGCUCACCAAGGCGACGAUCAGUAGCUGGUUUGAGAGAACGACCAGCCACACUGGAACUGAGACACGGUCCAGACUCCUACGGGAGGCAGCAGUGGGGAAUUUUGGACAAUGGGGGGCAACCCUGAUCCAGCAAUGCCGCGUGAGUG
This 376-nucleotide ribosomal RNA is filed under the name uncultured bacterium. RNAcentral's name for it is "bacterial SSU rRNA". It matches the Rfam family "Bacterial small subunit ribosomal RNA", at positions 30 to 407 of the family's 1533-position model. The record is from RNAcentral.